This 460-nucleotide ribosomal RNA is filed under the name uncultured bacterium. RNAcentral's name for it is "partial 16S ribosomal RNA". It matches the Rfam family "Bacterial small subunit ribosomal RNA", at positions 338 to 795 of the family's 1533-position model. The record is from RNAcentral.
CCUACGGGUGGCAGCAGUGAGGAAUAUUGGUCAAUGGCCGGAAGGCUGAACCAGCCAUGCCGCGUGAAGGUCAGUGCCCUAUGGGCGUUAAACUUCUUUUGUGCGGGAGCAAUAAUGGUCACGUGUGGCCAGACGAGAGUACCGUACGAAUAAGCAUCGGCUAACUCCGUGCCAGCAGCCGCGGUAAUACGGGGGAUGCAAGCGUUAUCCGGAUUUAUUGGGUUUAAAGGGUGCGUAGGCUGUGAGGUAAGUCAGCGGUGAAAUGCCCCCGCUCAACGGGGUGAAGUGCCAUUGAUACUGCCUGGCUGGAAUGCGGAUGCGGUGGGAGGAAUGUGUGGUGUAGCGGUGAAAUGCAUAGAGAUCACACAGAACACCGAUUGCGAAGGCAUCUCACGAAGCCGCGAUUGACGCUGAUGCACGAAAGCGUGGGUAUCAAACAGGAUUAGAUACCCGAGUAGUC